This 70-nucleotide non-coding RNA is filed under the name Plasmodium falciparum 3D7. Lineage: Eukaryota; Apicomplexa; Aconoidasida; Haemosporida; Plasmodiidae. The record is from RNAcentral.
AUUUUUCAAUAGGUUCUUUAUUGAUUCGCUCAAAUGAUAUUCGCUAGAUUCCUCAUCAUCUUGUGCUGUG